UGGGGAAUCUUGGACAAUGGGCGCAAGCCUGAUCCAGCAAUGCCGCGUGCGUGAAGAAGGCCUUCGGGUUGUAAAGCGCUUUUGUCAGGGAGCAAGAAGGGGUGGCUAAUAUCCACCCUGGAUGAGAGUACCUGAAGAAUAAGGACCGGCUAACUACGUGCCAGCAGCCGCGGUAAUACGUAGGGUCCAAGCGUUAAUCGGAAUUACUGGGCGUAAAGCGUGCGCAGGUGGUUCGUUAAGCGCGAUGUGAAAUCCCCGGGCUCAACCUGGGAAUUGCAUUGCGAACUGGCGAACUAGAGUACGGGAGAGGGGGGUGGAAUUCCACGUGUAGCAGUGAAAUGCGUAGAGAUGUGGAGGAACACCGAUGGCGAAGGCAGCCCCCUGGCCUGCUACUGACACU
This 400-nucleotide ribosomal RNA is filed under the name uncultured bacterium. RNAcentral describes it as "bacterial SSU rRNA". It matches the Rfam family "Bacterial small subunit ribosomal RNA", at positions 355 to 747 of the family's 1533-position model. The record is from RNAcentral.